AUACGGAGGGUGCAAGCGUUGUCCGGAUUUAUUGGGUUUAAAGGGUGCGUAGGUGGCGUGUUAAGUCAGUGGUGAAAGCCUGCAGCUCAACUGUAGAGGUGCCAUUGAUACUGACAUGCUUGAGUAUGGACGAGGUAGGCGGAAUUUGUGGUGUAGCGGUGAAAUGCAUAGAUACCACAAAGAACACCGAUAGCGAAGGCAGCUUACUGGACCAUAACUGACACUGAGGCACGAAAGUGUGGGUAGCGAACAGAAUUAGAAACCCUAGUAGUCC
Molecule: ribosomal RNA, 274 nt
Filed under: uncultured bacterium
Lineage: Bacteria
Description: partial 16S ribosomal RNA
Rfam family: Bacterial small subunit ribosomal RNA
Source: RNAcentral